This 536-nucleotide unclassified non-coding RNA is filed under the name Hevea brasiliensis (rubber tree). The record is from RNAcentral. Lineage: Eukaryota; Viridiplantae; Streptophyta; Magnoliopsida; Malpighiales; Euphorbiaceae.
GUUGUGCAAGUGGUGCAGUUACUGUGGAUAGUUAUAGAUGGGUUUGGAUAGGUUUUCUUAACGGCAACUAUAAGCCUGCCGUCGUCGAGGGAACCUCUGUAAACAGUGCCAUGGCUGCCUUUCCCAAGAAAGCUCUCCGCGGAGAACCCAUUGGUGGCUUUUACUAGUUCCGGGUAAGUGAACUCCCUGAUCUUAAUGGGCUUAUUGGGUUUGUUUCCGUUGGUUUUAUUUUUCCUUCUCUUGCGAUCCCAGUUGUAGGGAUCGCAGGUGGCUAUUGCAGACUCUGCAUUGCAAGAGAGAUAACCCAUAAUAAUUAGAAAGAAAGAGAGAGCGAGAGUAGAAAUUAUUCAGGAGAGUUGCCUAGGACACAGAAAAAAGGAAGGUGAGAAAGAAAAGGAAAGAAGUGGAGGUGGGAAACGAGAGCGGCGAAAUCCAUUACUACAAGAUGAAGGGUUAUGGUGAUGUGGGUGGGGAAGUGUAAAGGUGUGUACUGUUUUACAGCUUUGGGCAAAGAGAGAGAGAGAGAGAGAGAGAGA